Long non-coding RNA from Oxyura jamaicensis (ruddy duck), 1761 nucleotides. RefSeq lists it as uncharacterized. The record is from RefSeq and is a predicted model, not a curated record. The transcript has 3 exons. NCBI's taxonomy places the organism in Eukaryota, Metazoa, Chordata, Aves, Anseriformes, Anatidae.
AAAAAAAAAAAAAAAAAAAAAGAUAUGGCAUAUGUUCGACUUAGUUGCUUAUAUGUUUUGAAUACCUUCAAUAUUAGAGAGAAAAGAAGCGAUCUGAGUUAGUGACAAAAUUACUCAUGAGGUCACUUGCUGUGUUCAUCCUUUUUGCUACGAGCUCUGUUAAACGGUAAGAGCAUGAGAGGAGGCAGAGGAGGAGGACAACUUUCCAGUGCUGAGGGAAAUUAGUUUUGCAUGAGUCUCAGGAUUGUUUCCUUCCCCAGACUAAACUGCAGACGAGGAGCUGCUUCUCCCUUUAAUUUACAACCAACUCUGCAAGGCAUAGUUCAAAUGGUUAGGGUUGCACUCUGACCAGAACACACACCAUAGGUAAAUCCUACCUUUGAACAGUUUUAAGACUAGAAAUAUUGAAGUCAGAAUCCGUAUGAAAUUACUGGACAAGUGUGCUAUGUAGAGAGUAAAUAGAUGAUGUCAGGACCUAAGGAUAUUUUGUAAUGUUAGGGGCUUUUUCUCCUUAUGAACACCUUGUCUUUUUCAUGACUGUUUCUUUGGAGGGCAGGCAAGGUGAUUAAGAUAUGCUUGGAUUUAAAAGCAAACUAAAAAAAAAAACAAAAAAAAAAAAAAAAAAAAACCACCAAUCAAAUCUGAGUAGUUUUCUAGUUAAUUAGAUCCCAUUUAGAGUUUAGUGCAGCUGAUUAGCACGCCGUUGAGCCUGGAUCUUAUGCAUUCAAGAAAAUAAUGUAGCAAGAUGUCUCCAGCUGAGAGAUGUAAUUGCAGCAUUCAGCAGUGAUAUUUUUAGAUAUAAAGUAGUCACUGGAAGAAUCACAGUUUCGUAUGUAGAUGAUAUUCAUGGAGUGAGUACGCUUACAUGAGAGCAAGAAGUGUAGCCUUUUGGCCUUGUGCCAUCAAUUGGUAUCUGUAGAUGGUUCCAUCAGUAAAUAAGUGUUGCUGCUGUUAGGGUUUUGUAAGUGUUGUAAAAGCUGUUGAAUGUGGCAAGGAGGGAUGCUUAUGAAUUGCAGUUGAUGCCUCUUUAGGAAAGUAUCAUACCAAAUGUGUAACCUGGAUAUUACAGUGUGGUGGUGUUGCUUAAUAAAACAGACAACAUGAAAAUGCAGCUGUUGGCUACUGCAGUAAAUAAAUGCUAUUGUCCUCAUCAAGAGAGUCCAUCAUAAAUAAGAGCAACCCUCCCAGGCAUACCUAUUUUAAGAUAACAUUUUGGCUAUUUCAAUAAACGAACAACGACUUUCUCCACAGGUUAUGUGCAAUCUGAUUGUGUCCUUUUGAUAUUAAAUUUUGUAGUCUACUCUAAGAAAUAAUUGGUGAUGGGGGGGGAAACAGCUUAAAACAUUUUCUAUUUUCUGAUUUUUAUCUGUAUCGAAGCAACAGCUGUGAAUUUGUAUGAAUAAAUAUAUAUCAGAAAAGAGGCUGAGCCAAAUGACUCACCUAUGUGAUAACUGUAUCCAACAGAAUUAGAUUUUUCUACUCAUUAAAUAGGUGAGAUGAUUGCAAUUUGUUCUUACACAAUUUUGAUUUAAAGCUUUUUUUUUUUUUUAAUAAUUCAUUUAUUGGAAUGAAUUUCCUGUGUUUUUUUCUCAUCAGCUUUUAUAAUGCGAAUUAUGAUAAACUGUGACUUUUCAGGGUAUAUUACAUAGUACUUCGUUUCCUGUCUACGUGCAGGCAUUUGUCAUCCAAAUGUUCAUGUGCAUUUAAUGCAAUAAGUGAAAUCUAUAAGUAUUUGUAAUAGAUUUUCUAUGAAGAAUGGAU